This is an RNA transcript of Perca flavescens (yellow perch), 3125 nucleotides long. It is a transcript of the gene named atonal bHLH transcription factor 8, with no coding region annotated. Lineage: Eukaryota; Metazoa; Chordata; Actinopteri; Perciformes; Percidae. The record is from RefSeq and is a predicted model, not a curated record. The transcript has 5 exons.
UCCAGCCAGUCAGACGCCAGCAGAGACGAGCGCGAGCCCUCUUUGCUUUGUAAUCUGUCCGGUCGUCUACGGCAGGCUGAACGCUGCACGCGCUGUGUUUCCAGACAAGCAAGGAAUCAGGAUCCCGAGAAACACGGAGAGGACGUAAACUCAGAAGAUACAGCUAGUGGACUAAUUACUAUGAUUAAUAUCUGGACAACUAGUAACUUACAAAUGAUUCCCGUGGAGCCAGCUCACUGAAUGACAAAUAUCCCGUUUUACAUCUUGAAGUGGCAGCGCGAUAUCUGAGCUUUCUUCAAGAAGGGACCCUGGUUUGAUAUAGGGAUGUAUCGGUCCUGGGAUAGCAUGUAGGGGACAUUAUCAUCUUGGAGAAGUAGAGGCUAGCGCCACUUCUCACUUUAAUGCUGACAACCGAACCCCGGCCGGCUGCUGUGACGCUUUUUGGUUUGGUUGAGUUUAAAGACUCAAACUCGACAAUAUUACUCUGUGGGCAGACAAACUUUGUCUGUGUUCGGAAAAUGUUGACAGCCCAUGCCAAGUUAUUUUUUAUUCAGUUCUGUAACUAAUACAAUACGAUUCUGACCCCUAUGGUUGCUUUGGAAACGUAUGUAAAACAGUGACUGCCAGAGCUGUUUUAGAACUGUUCAAAUUUACAUUACUGGUCAGUGUGACUGCAUUUGGAAUUUUGAUUUUGCUCCUGAAAGCUGCCAUCCUGUUUAAGUGCUGUUCCCAUUAUUUUGUCCAGCAGCUGCAGCUCCACUGCAGCCUAUCUGUGCUCAGUGUGUGUAUCAGUGUGGGUUAUUCACAGUGCUGCUAUGUAGACUGACUGGAGCCACGCUCAGACAGCUCGACUGUAACCCCAAUUCAAAGGCACAGGCCUGGACUGCUCACACAGAAAGAAUCCUUUACAGCUGAGGAAAGCUUCCUGCAAAUCUUGAUCCAGAGGGACGACUUGUGCGGAAUAGCAGAUGUUACACAGCUUUGUGUACUAAUAUGGAUUAUUCAGGAUGCUGCUCUGCAGACAGAGUGGAGCCACAGAAAAUCUGCUGGUGAAGUUAGAGUAACUCACAUGGUUGUGCAGCUUCCUUUAGUGCAGUUAAACAUAUUGUGUUACACUGUUGGCAGCUGGAAGUUUGUCAGAAAAAGCUUUGUGUAUUACAACAAAACUCAUACUGGUAAAUAUGUGUUCAUUAUGAGUUGGAAAGUUUAACAGACUGGGACCAAAAUUUGUAUCUGAAAAACAAAAGUCCCCUUUUACUUUUUUUUUACAGUAAUUAAGCAAAUGUUUUCAGCAGGUGAAAGUUUUGAAAGAUGACACUCCCAAAGGGGGGACAGUUUUGAAAGAUUUGCUUGACUUGCAUUUUCUGUAGUUGAAAUUAGAUUUGUUUUUAAUAUAUUUUCACUAGCUUUUUAGUUAAACUAGGCUAAUUGUUGGAAAAUGAAGAACCCUCAUCCACUAAGUAAUACCUGGAAUAGAUCCAUUAACAAAGAACCGGUACUGAUCUCUGUGCCAGGUACUAACAAGAAGUUCAAGAGGAAGUCUCGGGAGCCUAAAAGGCUUUUCAGCGGCCCUGAGCCUGAGAGGAUAAAAACCUACCCAGCGAACAAGUCGGAUGUAGACUCAGUAGAUGGCACCCAGACAGAGGCAUGUAAUGUCAAUAGCUUGUCUACACUACAGAGACAGCUGAUGAUGUCACAGGAAGGGAUGGCCAGUACUACAGGGAUUCUGUCAGAACUACCAGAAGGCAACAUAGCUCCAGUUCAGAGUGGUGCCAUAGACAUGAGAAUUGGCAUUAACGUGCCUGCCAUCACUUCCAAAGUGUCCCAGUUACCCGCCUCUCAAUUUUCUAACUCUGAGAUCUCCCAUUGGCCCACAGCCAUCUCCCAGCCUCUUUCCAACAGACUCAAACUGGGCCUCCGAUCCAUCCCUCUGUCAACAUCAACCAACAGCAGCCACAGCCAUUCACACAGCCACCAAGCCUUCUCCAUGGAGCCCUCUUUGUCAGGCCAAACUGCAGCUCUGACUGUCCCCAGAGCCUCCCAGACCUCCCAGUGUCACGAACACGUGGAGCCCCAGGUCCAGUCACCCAAGGAGUCUCCCAAAAAGCGGGUUGUGGUGAGUGCUGAUGGACCUGGGCAUCUCCCGGAGGUCAAAGCCAUCCAGCAGACCAGGAGGCUUCUAGCCAAUGCCAGAGAGAGGACCCGUGUCCACACCAUCAGUGCUGCGUUUGAGGCCCUAAGGAAGCAGGUGCCAUGUUACUCCUAUGGGCAGAAGCUAUCCAAGCUGGCAAUAUUACGUAUAGCCUGCAACUACAUCCUGUCUCUUGCUCAAUUGGCUGAACUGGACUACAGUUCAGACCACAGCAGUCUGAGCUUCUCUCAGUGUGUGGAGCAGUGUACCAGGACCCUGCAGGCUGAGGGUAGGAGCAAGAAGAGGAAGUCCCAGACACCAGAUGUUUAGAGUGGAAGGGAAGUGGAGCUGGCGCCAUGAAGGGCAGAGGGCAGCGAGAAGGAGUGAGGCUGAUUGCAGUGGACAGGUCCUACAUAUGAGGACAAAGCUAUGAGGAUGCAGAAUACUGGGAGGAAGCAGAUAAAUGGAAGAUUGGAUGAAUUAUAAUUUUUGAUUGCUUUCACCACUUACACACUUAACAUCAACACUUAACUGAUGUGGAUUGUGAAAGUUUUGUAAAUCAGGGCCCACGAACACCAACUGACCCUUUGCAAUAACCUCCACUAAACUAUGCAUACAGUUAAACACAUUACAUUACUGUGCUCCAAUUUUGUAUUGGAGCGACUGUUACCUUGUCAAUACCAUGUUUAAGUAUGUAUUUCCUGGCAACAUGAAGCUCGUCUGGUCACAGGAUCUUGUGUAAAGUUUUAAAACAAACGUCAGUUUAAUGAGAAUAAAUCAUUUGAACUCAAACUGCAGACAUUCAGAACAUUCACUGCAGUUAAAGCCGCUCAUUCAUUAAUAGUAGAUGUUUUAUAGUUUAUAAACCUGUUAUAUUUCAAAAUAUGCCAAUUAUGUUUCUCCAAUACAAAUAAAAAUAUUUGAAAAAAUAUUACCCCCAAUGUGAUUUUUCACAAACAUGCUGAUACGAUAGACCUACUACACAUUGUAUUUC